CGCCUUGCCAGCCCGCUCAGAAACUCAAAUGAAUUGACGGGGGCCCGCACAAGCGGAGGAGCAUGUGGUUUAAUUCGAUGAUACGCGAGGAACCUUACCUGGGCUUAAAUGCUUAAUGACGUACUGGGAAACUGGUAUUUCUUCGGACAUUUUGCAAGGUGCUGCAUGGUUGUCGUCAGCUCGUGCCGUGAGGUGUCGGGUUAAGUCCCAUAACGAGCGCAACCCCUAUUGUUAGUUGCCAUCAGGUCAUGCUGGGGACUCUAACAAAACUGCCCGCGUAAGCGUGGAGGAAGGUGGGGAUGACGUCAAAUCAGCACGGCCCUUACGUCCAGGGCUACACACGUGCUACAAUGGCCGGUACAGAGGGCAGCCACUUGGUGACAAGGAGCAAAUCUCAAAAGCCGGUCUCAGUUCGGAUCGGAGUCUGCAACUCGACUCCGUGAAGUUGGAUUCGCUAGUAAUCGUAGAUCAGCAAUGCUACGGUGAAUACGUUCCCGGGCCUU
This 503-nucleotide ribosomal RNA is filed under the name uncultured Bacteroidota bacterium. RNAcentral describes it as "bacterial SSU rRNA". It matches the Rfam family "Bacterial small subunit ribosomal RNA", at positions 903 to 1382 of the family's 1533-position model. The record is from RNAcentral. Lineage: Bacteria; Pseudomonadati; Bacteroidota.